RNAcentral lists this ribosomal RNA (423 nucleotides) under uncultured bacterium. Its description in RNAcentral is "partial 16S ribosomal RNA". It matches the Rfam family "Bacterial small subunit ribosomal RNA", at positions 359 to 774 of the family's 1533-position model. The record is from RNAcentral.
GAAUAUUGGACAAUGGGGGGAACCCUGAUCCAGCCAUGCCGCGUGUGUGAAGAAGGCCUUUUGGUUGUAAAGCACUUUAAGCGAGGAGGAGGAGCUCUUGGUUAAUACCCAAGAUGCUUGGACGUUACUCGCAGAAUAAGCACCGGCUAACUCGGUGCCAGCCGCCGCGGUAAUACCGAGGGUGCAAGCGUUAAUCGGUUUUACUGGGCGUAAAGCGCGCGUAGGUGGCAAAUUAGGCCAAUGGGGAAACCCCGGAGCUAAACUUGGAAUUGCAUUCGAUACUGGUUGGCUAGAGUAUGGGAGAGGAUGGUAGAAUUCCAGGUGUAGCGGUGAAAUGCGUAGAGAUCUGGAGGAAUACCGAUGGCGAAGGCAGCCAUCUGGCCUAAUACUGACACUGAGGUGCGAAAGCAUGGGGAGCAAACA